Molecule: ribosomal RNA, 128 nt
Filed under: Miconia tetrapetala
Lineage: Eukaryota; Viridiplantae; Streptophyta; Magnoliopsida; Myrtales; Melastomataceae
Description: Clidemia tetrapetala partial 28S ribosomal RNA
Rfam family: Eukaryotic large subunit ribosomal RNA
Source: RNAcentral
GCGAUCCCAGGUCAGGCGGGGCUACCCGCUGAGUUUAAGCAUAUCAAUAAGCGGAGGAAAAGAAACUAACGAGGAUUCCCUUAGUAGCGGCGAGCGAACCGGGAAGAGCCCAGCGUGAAAAUCGUCCG